CCUACGGGAGGCAGCAGUGAGGAAUAUUGGUCAAUGGGCGGGAGCCUGAACCAGCCAAGUCGCGUGAGGGAAGACGGUCCUAUGGAUUGUAAACCUCUUUAGGCGGGGAGCAAUGCCGGGCACGCGUGCCCGGAGGGAGAGUACCCGCAGAAUAAGCAUCGGCUAACUCCGUGCCAGCAGCCGCGGUAAUACGGAGGAUGCGAGCGUUAUCCGGAUUUAUUGGGUUUAAAGGGUGCGUAGGCGGAGCGUUAAGUCAGUGGUCAAAUUGAGGGGCUCAACCCCUUCCCGCCAUUGAAACUGGCGCUCUUGAGUGGAAGAGAAGUAUGCGGAAUGCGUGGUGUAGCGGUGAAAUGCGUAGAUAUCAGGAGGAACAUCGGUGGCGUAAGCGCUUUACUGGGCCGUAAUUGACACUGAGGAACGAAAGCCGGGGUAGCAAAUGGGAUUAGAUACCCUAGUAGUC
RNAcentral lists this ribosomal RNA (460 nucleotides) under uncultured bacterium. Its description in RNAcentral is "partial 16S ribosomal RNA". It matches the Rfam family "Bacterial small subunit ribosomal RNA", at positions 338 to 795 of the family's 1533-position model. The record is from RNAcentral.